Small nuclear RNA from Molossus molossus (Pallas's mastiff bat), 109 nucleotides. NCBI's taxonomy places the organism in Eukaryota, Metazoa, Chordata, Mammalia, Chiroptera, Molossidae. The record is from RefSeq and is a predicted model, not a curated record.
GUGCUCGCUUCAGCAGCACAUACACUGUAAUUUAAAUGAUACAGAGAAGAUUAGCAUGGGCCCUGGGCAAGGAUGACAGAAAAUUUAUGAAGAGAGUAAGGAAAUUACA